RNAcentral lists this long non-coding RNA (228 nucleotides) under Elaeis guineensis (African oil palm). RNAcentral's name for it is "long non-coding RNA (EGUI_LNC044656)". The record is from RNAcentral. Lineage: Eukaryota; Viridiplantae; Streptophyta; Magnoliopsida; Arecales; Arecaceae.
CUACGGAUGGUCCACACGAAGCCCCUCGAACUGAUCAGCCCUCCACGGGAGGGCUAGUUCGUGCAGUUGGAUUUUGAUGGCAGAUCUGACUUGAUUUCCUUCUUCGAUUACUUCGAACCUUUCUAAUGUUGAAGAUGAAUCAAAAGAGGAUACUGGAUAGUAGAAAAAAAUCAGAUGAAGACUCUCUUUUCUUUAAUUUUUUUCUCACCCAAAAAUCUAGAACAGUUC